Pelobates cultripes (western spadefoot toad) is the source of this 460-nucleotide non-coding RNA. The record is from the annotation of a GenBank genome assembly. NCBI's taxonomy places the organism in Eukaryota, Metazoa, Chordata, Amphibia, Anura, Pelobatidae.
AUUUUAUGAACUGUGACUGUGCUAUUGUCCCUUAACUCUAAUAGUAUCCUCCACUCUGGGGGAGGGGGGGGUAGAACAAAUGAAAAAUAUAGUAUGCCAAGUAUUACUAGUAAGAACAAUGAAAAUGAAGAAGGGGGGUAAAUAAAAAGGUUAGGUUCCACCGAGAUUUGAACUCGGAUCGCUGGAUUCAGAGUCCAGAGUGCUAACCAUUACACCAUGGAACCGAUAUAAAGUGUUCCCACUAAGUGAGGCUAUGUGUACUGAAGGUGACUGGUCUAUGAUACUAAUGUUUUUUUAAUGGAAAUAAUAGAAUGAAUGGGAGGUUUAGAAAUUCUGUUAUAGCUGAUAUUUUAGUGUCUCAGACCUAUUAAUCUACUAAAACUCCAAUAUCCAUAUUUUAUAUAGCAAGCCCUUAUUACCUAAGAUUGCCACCUUUCUUUUGUUUUUAGAAAAUAUUGUU